AUACGAAGGGUGCAAGCGUUAAUCGGAAUUACUGGGCGUAAAGCGCGCGUAGGUGGUUCAGCAAGUUGGAUGUGAAAGCCCCGGGCUCAACCUGGGAACUGCAUCCAAAACUACUGAGCUAGAGUACGGUAGAGGGUGGUGGAAUUUCCUGUGUAGCGGUGAAAUGCGUAGAUAUAGGAAGGAACACCAGUGGCGAAGGCGACCACCUGGACUGAUACUGACACUGAGGUGAGAAAGCGGGGGGAGAAAACAGGAUUAGAUACCCUGGUAGUCCACGCCGUAAACGAUGUCAACUAGUUGUUGGGUUCCUUGAGAACUUAGUAACGAAGCUAACGCGAUAAGUUGACCGCCUGGGGAGUACGGCCGCAAGGUUAAAUCUCAAAUGAAUUGACGGGG
Molecule: ribosomal RNA, 396 nt
Filed under: uncultured bacterium
Lineage: Bacteria
Description: partial 16S ribosomal RNA
Rfam family: Bacterial small subunit ribosomal RNA
Source: RNAcentral